CAGGCCUAACACAUGCAAGUCGAACGAGAACGGAUUAUAGCUUGCUAUAAUUGUCAGCUAAGUGGCGCACGGGUGAGUAAUAUAUAGAUAACCUGCCCUCUAGAAAGGAAUAACAGUUGGAAACGACUGCUAAUGCCCUAUAUGCCUUUAAUACAUAAGUAUGCAAGGGAAACGCUUUAGUGCUAGAGGAUGGGUCUGUAUGGUAUCAGCUUGUUGGUGAGGUAAUGGCUCACCAAGGCUAUGACGCCUAACUGGUUUGAGAGGAUGAUCAGUCACACUGGAACUGAGACACGGUCCAGACUCCUACGGGAGGCAGCAGUGGGGAAUAUUGCACAAUGGACGAAAGUCUGAUGCAGCAACGCCGCGUGGAGGAUGACACAUUUCGGUGCGUAAACUCCUUUUAUAUGGGAAGUAAUGACGGUACCAUAUGAAUAAGCACCGGCUAACUCCGUGCCAGCAGCCGCGGUAAUACGGAGGGUGCAAGCGUUACUCGGAAUCACUGGGCGUAAAGAGCGUGUAGGCGGGUAUAUAAGUCAGAAGUGAAAUCCAAUAGCUUAACUAUUGAACUGCUUUUGAAACUGUGUACCUAGAAUGUGGGAGAGGUAGAUGGAAUUUCUGGUGUAGGGGUAAAAUCCGUAGAGAUCAGAAGGAAUACCGAUUGCGAAGGCGAUCUACUGGAACAUUAUUGACGCUGAGACGCGAAAGCGUGGGGAGCAAACAGGAUUAGAUACCCUGGUAGUCCACGCCCUAAACGAUGCACACUAGUUGUUGUGAGGCUAGACCUUGCAGUAAUGCAGUAACACAUUAAGUGUGCCGCCUGGGGAUAACGGUCGCAGGAUUUAAACUCAAAGGAAUUGACGG
This 861-nucleotide ribosomal RNA is filed under the name uncultured bacterium. RNAcentral's name for it is "bacterial SSU rRNA". It matches the Rfam family "Bacterial small subunit ribosomal RNA", at positions 43 to 916 of the family's 1533-position model. The record is from RNAcentral.